RNAcentral lists this transfer RNA (94 nucleotides) under bacterium HR12. RNAcentral's name for it is "tRNA-Leu". The record is from RNAcentral.
CGGCGGGCGGGGUGCGGCCCACCGCGACGGGCGCCCAGCGCGCCCGCGACGACCCGGGCGAGCUCCUCGGUCGUGCGGAUCGGCCCCCGUCGAC